Non-coding RNA from Micropterus dolomieu (smallmouth bass), 692 nucleotides. Lineage: Eukaryota; Metazoa; Chordata; Actinopteri; Centrarchiformes; Centrarchidae. The record is from the annotation of a RefSeq genome assembly.
AGAUUUAUAGUCCUGUGAGUUCAACACUGCAGGACUCAGAUCUGUCAGUCAACACGGCAGAAACAACAACCACCAUGACUCUCAUCGCCAUCCUCAUCUGGACGCUGGCCUGCUGCUGUUUUACAGGAUGCAGCAGUCAGGUGACUGUGACUCAGCCUGCAGUAGUGACAUCUACUCCAGGAUCCACUGUCACUCUCACCUGUAAAACCAACCAAGCUGUUUACAGAUGGUCUAAUGGUGAUGAGGGUAUGUUCUGGUAUCAACAGAAAUCUGGACAGCCUCCAAAGCUCUUGAUAAGACAUGUCAGCAUAAGGCACUCGGGAACACCAGCUCGGUUUAGUGGCAGUGGAAGCAGCUCUGACUUCACUUUGACCAUCAGUGGAGUUCAGGCUGAAGAUGCAGCAGUUUAUUACUGUAAGAGUGUACACAGUAGUGGAGUGUUCACACAGUGAUUUGUAGUCAUACAAAAACCUCCCUCAGUCAGACUGCAGAGACACUGAGCUGUUACAGCAGGAACCGACUGCAGCUGCUGAAGAGGAAGAGACUCUGACGCAGACCACUGAACACAGAGCUGACAGUAACCUCACCAAGCACAAACUACAUAUUAACACUAACAUGUUGAUUUUAUUUCAAGGUUUUUACUGUCACGUGUUUCAAUGCAGUGUACACAGCAAUGAGACAAAUGUGAAGUU